This 248-nucleotide unclassified non-coding RNA is filed under the name plant metagenome. RNAcentral's name for it is "partial contains small subunit ribosomal RNA and internal transcribed spacer 1". The record is from RNAcentral.
AAGUCAGUAACAAGGUUUCCGUAGGUGAACCUUGCUGGAAUGAUUCAAUUGAAAAGUAGGCAUUAGGGGUUCAUUCAAUGGCCCCGAGCCUCAUCCCUCUUGUUGUUAUAACUACCUUGUUGCUUUGGCGGGACCGUCUCGGCUCUCCGAGCGGCACUAACCCUCGGGUUGGUGAGCGCCCGCCAGAGUCCAACCAAACUCUUUAUUAAACCAGUCGUCUGAGUAUAAAAAUUUUAAUUAAAUUAAAA